AGUGAGUAAACAAUGCGAAGCUACCCAUAAUUGACGGUUACUCCGAUUAUACUAAAAGAGGGUUAUGGAGGCGCGUGUUGAGGAUUAGGUAUGUUGGUGGGAUAAUAGCUUACCAAACCGAAGAUCCUUAGUCAUCCUGAGAGGGAGAAUGGCCACGCCGGAACUGAAACAAGGUCCGGGCUUAUUUAAGCCAGCAGUAGGGAAUAUUGGACAAUGAGCGAAAGCUUGAUCCAGCAAGAUUGCGUGAGGGAAGAAGGUCAUUUGACUGUAAACCUCUUUCACCGAGGAAGAAUUAAGACGGUACUCGGAAAAGAAGCUCCAGCCAAUCUCGUGCCAGCAGCUGCGGUAAUACGGGAGGAGCGAGGGUUAUUCAUGAUGAUUGGGUGUAAAGCAGGAUAAGGUGAUAAGUACAAGUUUCAAGUCGACCAAAAGCUUAACUUAAGGGAGGAUUUGAAAAACUAACUUAAUAGAGGAAUUACAGAGUUGAAAGCGGAACUAUUGGGGUAGAGGUGUAAUUCGUUUCAUCUCAAUGGGAACACCGAAAGCGAAAAGCAGCCAACUAAUAAUUACCUGCCACUAGACCUGGAAUCUGAGGUAGCAAACCGGAUUAGAUACCCGGGUAGUCUCAGACGUAAACGAUGGACGCUCGUGAGAGAUAAAUGCUCUCACUCAGCUAACGCGUAAGCGUCCCACCUAGUGAGUACACCCGCAAGGGUGAAAACUAAAUAGAAUAGGCGGCUUUACAAACGACCAGAGGAGCAUGCAACUUAAUUUGAUAUUACGCGACAAACCUUACCUAGGCUUGUAUUUUCAUUGAUAUGAGGAUAAAAAAUCCCGUUAAACUUGAUACUAUUACGAUAGUCUCUAUAUGUGAAAACACGUUUUGCAUGAUCGUAUUCAGCUCGAUGUUGUGAAAUGUUAGGUUAAGUCCUUUAACGAGCGCAACCCAUGUCUUUAGUUGGAGAAAAUAACUUAGAUGAGUUAAUUUUUUAUCGUAUAGCUAUAGCUAUUCAACAACCUCUCUAAAGAAACUGCCGUGGAAAAAGCGGAGGAAGGAAUGGAUGACUACAGAUCACCAUGAACGUUAUGCUUAGGGCUGUAAGCGUGCUACAAUCGGAUUGACAAAGGGAAGCAAAGAGGUAACUCAGCGCGAAUCCUUAAACAAUCUCGUCAAUUAGGAUCGAAGACUGCAACUCGUCUUCGUGAAUCCGGAUUUGGAAGUAAUCGUGGAGGAGAGCGCCACGGUGAAUAGGAAAAUGUAAAGUGUACUUCUUGCCCAGCACGCCUCAAGAGUGGAUUCAAUUAAAGGUUAAAAUUUCAUUCAGUUCGCAGUACUACAGGUGCUGUACAUUGA
RNAcentral lists this ribosomal RNA (1354 nucleotides) under metagenome. Its description in RNAcentral is "bacterial SSU rRNA". It matches the Rfam family "Bacterial small subunit ribosomal RNA", at positions 105 to 1466 of the family's 1533-position model. The record is from RNAcentral.